AAGACCCUUCAUUUGAUGUUUAAC
This 24-nucleotide non-coding RNA is filed under the name Gossypium hirsutum (cotton). The record is from RNAcentral. Lineage: Eukaryota; Viridiplantae; Streptophyta; Magnoliopsida; Malvales; Malvaceae.